Molecule: ribosomal RNA, 375 nt
Filed under: Escherichia coli
Lineage: Bacteria; Pseudomonadati; Pseudomonadota; Gammaproteobacteria; Enterobacterales; Enterobacteriaceae
Description: bacterial LSU rRNA
Rfam family: Bacterial large subunit ribosomal RNA
Source: RNAcentral
AGGGUAUGGCUGUUCGCCAUUUAAAGUGGUACGCGAGCUGGGUUUAGAACGUCGUGAGACAGUUCGGUCCCUAUCUGCCGUGAGCGCUGGAGAACUGAGGGGGGCUGCUCCUAGUACGAGAGGACCGGAGUGGACGCAUCACUGGUGUUCGGGUUGUCAUGCCAAUGGCACUGCCCGGUAGCUAAAUGCGGAAGAGAUAAGUGCUGAAAGCAUCUAAGCACGAAACUUGCCCCGAGAUGAGUUCUCCCUGACUCCUUGAGAGUCCUGAAGGAACGUUGAAGACGACGACGUUGAUAGGCCGGGUGUGUAAGCGCAGCGAUGCGUUGAGCUAACCGGUACUAAUGAACCGUGAGGCUUAACCUUACAACGCCGAAG